GAUGAACGCUGGCGGCGUGCCUAAUACAUGCAAGUCGAGCGAACAGACGAGGAGCUUGCUCCUCUGACGUUAGCGGCGGACGGGUGAGUAACACGUGGAUAACCUACCUAUAAGACUGGGAUAACUUCGGGAAACCGGAGAUAAUACCGGAUAAUAUAUUGAACCGCAUGGUUCAAUAGUGAAAGACGGUUUUGCUGUCACUUAUAGAUGGAUCCGCGCCGCAUUAGUUAGUUGGUAAGGUAACGGCUUACCAAGGCAACGAUGCGUAGCCGACCUGAGAGGGUGAUCGGCCACACUGGAACUGAGACACGGUCCAGACUCCUACGGGAGGCAGCAGUGGGGAAUCUUCCGCAAUGGGCGAAAGCCUGACGGAGCAACGCCGCGUGAGUGAUGAAGGUCUUCGGAUCGUAAAACUCUGUUAUUAGGGAAGAACAAAUGUGUAAGUAACUAUGCACGUCUUGACGGUACCUAAUCAGAAAGCCACGGCUAACUACGUG
This 497-nucleotide ribosomal RNA is filed under the name uncultured bacterium. RNAcentral describes it as "partial 16S ribosomal RNA". It matches the Rfam family "Bacterial small subunit ribosomal RNA", at positions 28 to 507 of the family's 1533-position model. The record is from RNAcentral.